AAAAAAAACCCUCACUUUUUUUCUCAAUAUUUUCCUUCUUCCCCGAUUUUCUUCUUCUAGAUUUUCUCCAAACUCACGUAGCUCCAGUCAUUCAUUCGUGCACUACCACCGAAGCUUCAAUCAGCCGUUUGGACGCCACAUUCGAGCUUAAGUCCAUUCUGUUCGCUCCAAAGGUGCGUCAAUCGUGCGCUCCAAUCGUCUGCUUCACGUUAUCGUUUAGAGAUCGGAGACACAUCAAUCUUUUUUUCUCUUUUUUUCUCUUUUUAUCUCUUUUUAUCUCACUUUUUGCUGCAUCCGUAGGAAUCUACUUGGGUGUGGAUAACGGUGGCAUAAGUACCCAAGACGAAUGUGUAGCAACUAUUGACGAUGUUUCAGUAGUUAGCAGCAACAUUUCUCUUCUUUUUGUCGAACCCCGACAUUGACCCUCACUUAGUUUGGCUUCAAAUCGAAUUACCAUAGUUCAUAAAGUUCUGAUCUGCAAGUUCGGACACUUUCAAACACGACCAACUAAGAUCGGAGCCCUUCAAUGGUAGGAUUCAAUGGGUAACUUAGCUCUAAUUUGCUUUCGAAAUGGAUUUAGGUGUUUGAAUUAGACUAUAAGUCAUUGGAGUUCUUCUAUUGUUAUGUUUGGGUCAAUUUCGAAUUUUGGAUUAAGUCCUUGGAUUUGAAUAUCCCUCUUUAACAGUCUUUCAAUUAUGAUUAAGGUUUUUAAAUUGUUUGAUUUUUGUUUUCCAUGAAAAUGAUCCAAAAGUAGAAGAUGAAGGCAAUUAGUAAACUUGAGGAAUGUUUCUAAAUUAUUUAUUAGGAAUAGUAGAGUGUGUAUUGUACAUUUUUUAUGGCCUUUUAGUUUCAGUUUUGGGUACUUAAGAAUCAUAAAUGUGUUUGUUAUAUUUUAGGAUCCAUUGAAAUGUUUGAAAAUAAGAUUGUCUGAGAUCACAAGUUUAGGUGUUGGUGUAGAUUAUAGUUAGGAAAUAAUUAGAAGUAACUUUGAUCAAGGAAGCGUAAAUAUUUGUGGAAUUUUUUGAACAAAGUACCCACGAUUUUUCUCUAUUUGCGUCAAAUUUCAAGCUGAUUGUGCUAAUGUUAAUGGCUACCGUUGGUUUGGCUUUGCUGAUCUUUGUCAAUUGUAGCCAUUUUGGAAACAUUUUUUAAUGUCUCCUUGCCAUAUUUGUGUAUUUAUUUUUAUUAAAAUUUACUUUCUUAUCUUAAUAAAUGUUGACUUUUACUUUGCAACUUCGGAACUGUAUUGGAUCUACUGUAACUGCUAUGGGACCUGAGAAGAUACUUACUCUUAUUCCCAUAUCCAUUAAUCCUGGCAACUCAACUGUGUAGAACAUGUGGUUGAUACCAGUUCUACAUAGUCAUGUUGUUGGAGCAUCACUUGGAUAUUAUCUAGAAUAUAUUGUGCCCCUUGCAAAAUCUUUUCAGGACGAGAGUUGUAAAGUUAAGAAGAUUACGUUGUGUAAAAAUCAACGGACAUGUGCUCGUAAUUUGUGGAAAUUACUACCUGCUUUUUGCUGCCAUCCUACUGGUAUGCACCGAAGAAUUGGAAUGCUUUCUGAACUUUUAAUUACACUUCUUAAAGAAGACUCCUUUAUGCAUGAAGAUAUUGCUGCUGCCUUACAGGUCACAUAAUAAUGUUGAUUUUGGUGCUAUUAUAUAUUGUACUAUUUUUUCCCUUUCCAUUUCAUUUUAAUAUUUUUAUAAAGUUAUGCCAAUCCAAGAACAACUCAUUGGAUAAGGCACAAACUACUGUCCUAAUAGUCAUUUUCUCUUUAAACCUUUGUGUUUCUCGCUUUGUUAUUGGGUUCUUACGUGUAUGUUGUUAACGACACCCUUGGCUAGGAAUGAUUGUAUUAACUUUAAUAUUUUGGGUUUCAUAAUAGAUUAAUACAAGGACCUCAUACAAUCAACUCGAGUUGGAUGAAGUGUGAAUGGAGCUUGCUUAUUUUUUGGGUGCCCACAUGUAAUUAUGGUGAUAGCUAAGUUCUUUUAAGUUAGAUAGACAAGUUUUGUUGAUAUUGGAUAUAGUUGAACUAGUUUUAUUGAUACUGGAUAUAGUUGAACUAGUUUUGUUGAUACUAGAUAAAGGUAAAAGACAAGUUUUGAUAUGGUACACCUUUAGGCUACACAUAUAUUUUGUUUAUAUAUUGACAUUAAUGAAAAGUUUAGGCUAUUGUUAGAUGCUUAGGCUACACAUAUAUAUUGUAAUUAACUAUGUAAUCACCAACUUAUAUAUGGUUCAUUUGAUAUAUAUAUAUGCAAUUUCUUUGA
Cucumis melo (muskmelon) is the source of this 2274-nucleotide RNA transcript. RefSeq lists it as uncharacterized. Lineage: Eukaryota; Viridiplantae; Streptophyta; Magnoliopsida; Cucurbitales; Cucurbitaceae. The record is from RefSeq and is a predicted model, not a curated record. The transcript has 3 exons.